ACGCUGCGGCGUGCUUAACACAUGCAAGUCGAACGGAAAGGCCCGCUUGCGGGUACUCGAGUGGCGAACGGGUGAGUAACACGUGGGCAACCUGCCCUCAGCUCUGGGAUAACUCCGGGAAACCGGUGCUAAUACUGGAUAUCAACUUUGCCUCGCAUGGGGUGUUGUUGAAAGUUUUUCGGCUGGGGAUGGGCCCGCGGCCUAUCAGCCUGUUGGUGGGGUAACGGCUCACCUAGGCGACGAUCCCUAGCUGGUCUGAGAGGAUGACCAGCCACACUGGAACUGAGACACGGUCCAGACUCCUACGGGAGGCAGCAGUGGGGAAUAUUGCACAAUGGGCGCAAGCCUGAUGCAGCCAUGCCGCGUGUAUGAAGAAGGCCUUCGGGUUGUAAAGUACUUUCAGCGGGGAGGAAGGGAGUAAAGUUAAUACCUUUGCUCAUUGACGUUACCCGCAGAAGAAGCACCGGCCAACUACGUGCCAGCAGCCGCGGUAAUACGUAGGGUGCGAGCGUUGUCCGGAAUUAUUGGGCGUAAAGAGCUCGUAGGCGGUCUGUCGCGUCGAAUGUGAAAACCCGGGGCUCAACUCCGGGCUUGCAUUCGAUACGGGCAGGCUAGAGUUCGGUAGGGGAGUCUGGAAUUCCUGGUGUAGCGGUGAAAUGCGCAGAUAUCAGGAGGAACACCGGUGGCGAAGGCGGGACUCUGGGCCGAUACUGACGCUGAGGAGCGAAAGCGUGGGGAGCGAACAGGAUUAGAUACCCUGGUAGUCCACGCCGUAAACGUUGGGCGCUAGGUGUGGGGGUCCUUCCACGACCUCCGUGCCGCAGCUAACGCAUUAAGCGCCCCGCCUGGGGAGUACGGCCGCAAGGCUAAA
This 871-nucleotide ribosomal RNA is filed under the name uncultured bacterium. Its description in RNAcentral is "bacterial SSU rRNA". It matches the Rfam family "Bacterial small subunit ribosomal RNA", at positions 33 to 898 of the family's 1533-position model. The record is from RNAcentral.